CCUACGGGAGGCAGCAGUAGGGACUCUUUCACAAUGGGCGAAAGCCUGAUGGAGCAACGCCGCGUGCAGGAUGAAGGCCUUCGGGUUGUAAACUGCUUUUAUAAGCGAGAAAUAUUGUGGUAACUGAUGUAUAAUGAUCGUCUAGCUACGUGCAAGCAGCCGCGGUGAUACGUCGGCUCCGAGGAUUAUCCGGAGUGACUGGGGGUAAAGAGUUGCGUAGGGGGCAUAAUAAGGAGCUAGUGAAAUCUGGUGGCUCAACCAUUCAGACUAUUAGCUAAACUGUUAAGCUCGAGACCGUUGAGGGUAAGUGGAAUUUCUGGUGUAGGGGUGAAAUCCUUAGAUAUUAGAAAGAACACCAAUAGCGUAGGCAGGUUGCUGGGACGGUUCUGACACUAAGGCACGAAGGCGUAGGGAGCGAACGGGAUUAGAUACCCGAGUAGUC
RNAcentral lists this ribosomal RNA (442 nucleotides) under uncultured bacterium. Its description in RNAcentral is "partial 16S ribosomal RNA". It matches the Rfam family "Bacterial small subunit ribosomal RNA", at positions 338 to 795 of the family's 1533-position model. The record is from RNAcentral.